This is a long non-coding RNA of Tribolium castaneum (red flour beetle), 1612 nucleotides long. RefSeq lists it as uncharacterized. The transcript is spliced from 3 exons. NCBI's taxonomy places the organism in Eukaryota, Metazoa, Arthropoda, Insecta, Coleoptera, Tenebrionidae. The record is from RefSeq and is a predicted model, not a curated record.
AUGUCGACGUGAGACUUACAGGUCUAUAGUUAGCAGGAUCAAGUUUAUCUCCUGACUUGUACAAAGGCGUGAUUGUUGCUUGCAACCACUCGUAGGGCAAAGUGCCUUGUAAGAAUGAUUUUGUCAUCAUUUUGGCAAGUGGGCCCGACAACGAAGCAGCACAAGUUCUCAGGAGUUUGGGAGGUAUCUGAUCCGGACCUGGAGCUGUAUUUAAUUUAAUGGCACAGAGUUGGCUUUUUACCAGAUCCGGAGUAAAAUUAAUAUAAGACAACCCACUAAAUGUAGCAGCAAAACUGUCCGCUAAAGUGUUUGCAGUUUCUGUAUGAUCGGAGCAGAGUAGACCUGAAGCAUUUCGUACUAAAGGGACCGACACACGACUAGAGAUAAAUUUACGUACAUGGGAAUAAAAUAGUUUUGGUUUAUUUAAUAUAGAAUUUUCAUAAUUACACCUGGCUAUUUGUAAAUCAGAUUUUAGUUGGUUAGAAAAUCUUUUAUAAGCAGAAAAAUUAUCUUCAGUAGGCUUCCUUUUAAAUUUUUUCCAUAAUUUAGCUUUGUAUUUUAUUUUGUCAAGCAUGUGUUGAUUUAUCCACGGUUUAUCUUUUCUCAGUCGGUUUGUAAACAGUCUGGAAUUUGUUGUAAUGCAAGUUUGUAAAAUCGAUUUAAAAUGUUUCCAUUGUUCUUCCGCAUUUAGUGAAUCUAAACCAUUCCAGUCGUAAGUCAAGAGACUUUCGUCUAUGCGAGUGUAGUCAACAAUUGAUGUUGUUUUAAUUCUUGCAUUUGGCUCUGAAUAUAUCAUAAUUUGUAACUCAAUUUCGAUUUUUGAAUGAUCAGAUGUACCUACAGGAUUCGAAACGUUUAAAGACGAUACAAGGUUAACGUCAGACAAAAUUACCAAAUCAAGUAAUGAAGGACGUUGUUGGGAUCUAAAUCGUGUAGGUUCAGUGACUAUUUGUGACAAAUUAUUCUCCAAGAGCAAUUCAGAAAAUUGUUUUUCGGUGAUUGUUUGACCUGUUGUGUUUUUAGCAGACCAGUCUAUACAUGGAAAAUUGAAAUCUCCCAUGAUAAUUAAGUUAGGAUACUGAUUAAUAGUUGAUUGUAUGGUAUUAAAUAGAUUUUUAUCAUUUUCGUGAUUGUUAAAAGACGCUCCUGUUGGUGGUCUGUAAAUACAUGCUAUAACAAAGGUUUGUUCAUUUCCUUCAAAUUUUAACCAUAGAGAAUCAUAAGGUUUAACAGAUAUGCAAAUUUGAGUAAUUUUAAAAAAUUUUGAAAUUUUAAUUUUAUCUACAUAAAAACACACACCGCCACCUUUUUGAGAUAGGCGAUCAUCUCUGUAAAUAGAGUAAUUUUCAAUGUGUACAGCAUCAUCAGAGAUAGACGGAUUAAGCCAAGUCUCCGUGAGUGCGAUAAUAGAAGGUCUAAAUUCAGUUACUUCUAAUAACAAAUCAUUAAAUUUUGAAGAUAAAGAUGCGAUAUUCGUAUACAGAAGAGCCAUUGAACAAGGUAAUUUCCAGAGGAAACAACAACAACCACAUACACCCAGAUAUCAAAUUCAACAAUCAACACCAAGAAUCAACCACUGAAAAUGAAUCCCAAAGGCAAGAGCACGCAGAGA